CCUUUCAAAUCAAACAGAGAGGUAUGGUGAUGAGUCUUUUAUCAACUCCUACAUUAGGCCAAUGAGGUGGGAUUAGGGGAGAA
Long non-coding RNA from Etheostoma cragini (Arkansas darter), 83 nucleotides. RefSeq lists it as uncharacterized. The transcript is spliced from 3 exons. Lineage: Eukaryota; Metazoa; Chordata; Actinopteri; Perciformes; Percidae. The record is from RefSeq and is a predicted model, not a curated record.